CCUACGGGUGGCAGCAGUGAGGAAUAUUGGUCAAUGGACGCAAGUCUGAACCAGCCAUGCCGCGUGCAGGAUGACGGCUCUAUGAGUUGUAAACUGCUUUUGUACGGGAGUAAACCCCGAUACGUGUAUCGUGUUGAACGUAUCGUACGAAUACGGAUCGGCUAACUCCGGGCCAGCAGCCGCGGUAAUACGGUGGAUCCGAGCGUUGUACUGCUUUGUUGGGUUUGAAGGGUGCGUAGGCGGUUUGAUAUGUUAGUGGGUAAAUGUCGGGGCUCAACCCCGACACUGCCUCUGAUACUGUUGGACUAGAGUGUAGUAGCGGUAGGCGGAAUGUAAGGUGAAGCGGUGAAAUGCGUAGAGAUCAGACUGAACACCGAUUGCGAAGGCAGCUUA
This 393-nucleotide ribosomal RNA is filed under the name uncultured bacterium. RNAcentral describes it as "partial 16S ribosomal RNA". It matches the Rfam family "Bacterial small subunit ribosomal RNA", at positions 338 to 728 of the family's 1533-position model. The record is from RNAcentral.